AGAGUUUGAUCAUGGCUCAGAUUGAACGCUGGCGGCAGGCCUAACACAUGCAAGUCGAACGGUAGCACAGAGAGCUUGCUCUCGGGUGACGAGUGGCGGACGGGUGAGUAAUGUCUGGGAAACUGCCUGAUGGAGGGGGAUAACUACUGGAAACGGUAGCUAAUACCGCAUAACGUCGCAAGACCAAAGAGGGGGACCUUCGGGCCUCUUGCCAUCAGAUGUGCCCAGAUGGGAUUAGCUAGUAGGUGGGGUAACGGCUCACCUAGGCGACGAUCCCUAGCUGGUCUGAGAGGAUGACCAGCCACACUGGAACUGAGACACGGUCCAGACUCCUACGGGAGGCAGCAGUGGGGAAUAUUGCACAAUGGGCGCAAGCCUGAUGCAGCCAUGCCGCGUGUAUGAAGAAGGCCUUCGGGUUGUAAAGUACUUUCAGCGGGGAGGAAGGUGUUGUGGUUAAUAACCACAGCAAUUGACGUUACCCGCAGAAGAAGCACCGGCUAACUCCGUGCCAGCAGCCGCGGUAAUACGGAGGGUGCAAGCGUUAAUCGGAAUUACUGGGCGUAAAGCGCACGCAGGCGGUCUGUCAAGUCGGAUGUGAAAUCCCCGGGCUCAACCUGGGAACUGCAUUCGAAACUGGCAGGCUAGAGUCUUGUAGAGGGGGGUAGAAUUCCAGGUGUAGCGGUGAAAUGCGUAGAGAUCUGGAGGAAUACCGGUGGCGAAGGCGGCCCCCUGGACAAAGACUGACGCUCAGGUGCGAAAGCGUGGGGAGCAAACAGGAUUAGAUACCCUGGUAGUCCACGCCGUAAACGAUGUCGAUUUGGAGGUUGUGCCCUUGAGGCGUGGCUUCCGGAGCUAACGCGUUAAAUCGACCGCCUGGGGAGUACGGCCGCAAGGUUAAAACUCAAAUGAAUUGACGGGGGCCCGCACAAGCGGUGGAGCAUGUGGUUUAAUUCGAUGCAACGCGAAGAACCUUACCUGGUCUUGACAUCCACAGAACUUUCCAGAGAUGGAUUGGUGCCUUCGGGAACUGUGAGACAGGUGCUGCAUGGCUGUCGUCAGCUCGUGUUGUGAAAUGUUGGGUUAAGUCCCGCAACGAGCGCAACCCUUAUCCUUUGUUGCCAGCGGUCCGGCCGGGAACUCAAAGGAGACUGCCAGUGAUAAACUGGAGGAAGGUGGGGAUGACGUCAAGUCAUCAUGGCCCUUACGACCAGGGCUACACACGUGCUACAAUGGCGCAUACAAAGAGAAGCGACCUCGCGAGAGCAAGCGGACCUCAUAAAGUGCGUCGUAGUCCGGAUUGGAGUCUGCAACUCGACUCCAUGAAGUCGGAAUCGCUAGUAAUCGUAGAUCAGAAUGCUACGGUGAAUACGUUCCCGGGCCUUGUACACACCGCCCGUCACACCAUGGGAGUGGGUUGCAAAAGAAGUAGGUAGCUUAACCUUCGGGAGGGCGCUUACCACUUUGUGAUUCAUGACUGGGGUGAAGUCGUAACAAGGUAACCGUAGGGGAACCUGCGGUUGGAUCACCUCCUUA
RNAcentral lists this ribosomal RNA (1533 nucleotides) under Enterobacter cloacae. RNAcentral's name for it is "bacterial SSU rRNA". It matches the Rfam family "Bacterial small subunit ribosomal RNA". The record is from RNAcentral. Lineage: Bacteria; Pseudomonadati; Pseudomonadota; Gammaproteobacteria; Enterobacterales; Enterobacteriaceae.